CCUACACUGACAGAGCCAACGAGUUCUUUACCUUGGUCGGAAGAAUUGGGCAAUCUUGUUAAACUCUGUCGUGCUGGGGAUAAANCAUUGCAAUUUUUGGUUUUCAACGAAGAAUGCCUAAUAAGCGCGUGUCAUCANCAUGCGUUGAUUACCUCCCUGACCUUUGUACACACCGCCCGUCGCUACUACCGAUUGAAUGGCUCGGCCCGUGCCCCCGCCC
RNAcentral lists this ribosomal RNA (220 nucleotides) under uncultured fungus. RNAcentral's name for it is "partial 18S ribosomal RNA". It matches the Rfam family "Eukaryotic small subunit ribosomal RNA", at positions 1497 to 1716 of the family's 1831-position model. The record is from RNAcentral. Lineage: Eukaryota; Fungi.